GCCUCGAUAGCUCAAUGGAUAGAGCAGCGCUCUUCUAAGGCGUUGAUGUGGGUUCGAUUCCUACUCGGGGCA
RNAcentral lists this transfer RNA (72 nucleotides) under Patescibacteria group bacterium. Its description in RNAcentral is "tRNA-Arg". It matches the Rfam family "tRNA". From Rfam's summary of the family: Transfer RNA (tRNA) molecules are approximately 80 nucleotides in length. The record is from RNAcentral.